AUUAUUUUCUUUGGGCAAGCAAUCACAUCUCUGGUGAAGUAAAAGAUGACAAGUACUACCUCCAUAAAGAAAUAUAAGAGUGUUUAGAUUACUAAGUAGUGAUCUAAACACUCUUAUAUUUCUUUACGGAGUGAGCAUCACCUAGAGUAAUCGGCUCAUCAAGUUAACUGCAGCCAACUAAGCAGCAAUCAUCAUAAAAAAGCAGGGAUGAUUCAAAGUUCAAACCAACGGUCCCUAGAAAGAUAUCACAAGUUUGCAUUACCUCAUAGCAAGGUGCCCCAUCUGGCAACAAUCAAUCAAUACCGAUAGCACAAGUUCGCAUUACCUCAUACCUGGACCUACAUGAACUAUAGACCCAUCGCCCAUUCAGCAGUAAACCAAUAACUGUUUUGGGUAUGCUGUAGCAGAUAGGGGCAGCACAAAAUACAAACUAGAUUGAUAGUUUGCAAUCCUAGCCAGUGAAACAACCCCUGCGCAAGUAGAUUCCACCAAACGACAUCAUCUGCUUUGUGAAGGGUAGCGGGAACAAUGCCGACAUCCAAAGAUAAAUACUCUAUUGAUCGACAUGAAUCAUGUUUGUACCACCAAAUCAUGAUAUCCAAGUCAGAAUGCAGCCUCAAACGGUUCACUUGUUACGCUGAACGCAUCCAUUCUCGGUUAGGUACUCCACAAAUUCAUCAAUUAGGUAGGGCCAAGCACCUUCUUCGUCAUAGUUGGAUAACUGUGGAUCAAUUGUCUGCAAUAACACAACAGUGAAAUUGGUUAAGUUCACAAUUAUGAGCUCUUUCUACAUGCAAGUCAUAGUAAGAGCCAUCUUAGUCCCUUCCGGACAUCCAACAAAAAAUUGACACGUUUAACAAGAUACACGAUUAGUGAAGAACUGAAAAGAUAACAGAUUAUUGACGAAUCACUGAAGGCGACAGAUCACAAACUACCUAGAGACUACAACCUAGGCACACCAGUUAACCUGUCUCAUUUGCCCAAGCAAAGUUUAUUUGUCAUGCUGAUUAAGUGGGCAUACAAGUCCCGCAAAAUCUGGGCAUUCAUAUCUAUAUACCUAACAUUAAAGGGAGGAAUGUUUCUACCCAUCCAUCAUCAGAAUUGCUCUGAACUUUUUAAAAAUUACCUCUCAAUGUCACCCGUAAGCGGGAAAAAGCGGUUCAGAGCAACAUUCCUACGUUUUGUCAGCAGCUUGCAG
RNAcentral lists this long non-coding RNA (1198 nucleotides) under Triticum aestivum (bread wheat). RNAcentral describes it as "long non-coding RNA (TAES_LNC005349)". The record is from RNAcentral. Lineage: Eukaryota; Viridiplantae; Streptophyta; Magnoliopsida; Poales; Poaceae.